UUGAUGUUUGGUAACCUUAAAUGGGAAAUCUUUACCCUCAGCCGUGAUGUCCACAUUACCAUUCUGAAAAACGUUAGUAACUAGAAAAGGACCUUUCCAUCGAGACUCUUGUUUCCCUGGAGAUGAUUUGAAAUAGGAACUUAACAACCACACUUUUUUACCAGGCUGUAUUUUUGCACAACUUGGACUGCUUUGCAAUUUUUUAUUGCCCUUGACAUUCAAAUGUUUUGGUCAAUCUGGUGGCAAAUCACAUUUUGAGUCUUUAUGGGCAGCUUGCCAAUAGAUGAUCUGGUCACAAAAUUGGCAUGAGGUAAACCAUUUAAUACAUCAACAUGCAUGCAUUCUUGUGUCACCUGAAUGUAUGCUUGCUUCGAACAACUUGAAAACAACCGUUUGAUCUUCAACUCGGAAUGUUAAUGUUCCGACUUCCACAUCAAUAAGAGUUCAGGCUGUUGCCAAGAAUGGGCGGGCCAAAAUGAUGGGUGUUGUCAAAUCCUCAUCCAUGUCCAACACCAUAAAAUCAGCCAGUAAAUAUAAAUUGUCAACCUUCACAAUAACAUCUUCAAUGACUCCUCUAGGAUAGGUAAUUGAAUGGUCAGCCAAUUGAAUAAUGUUGGAGGUCGACUUCAGCUCUCCUUCACCUAAACGUUUAAAAACAGAAUAAGGCAUUAAGUUUACACUAGCACCUAAAUCAAUUAAAGCAUUAUUAAAAUCACAAUUUCCAAUGGUGCAAGAGAUA
This 739-nucleotide long non-coding RNA is filed under the name Malus domestica (apple). RNAcentral describes it as "long non-coding RNA (MDOM_LNC018391)". The record is from RNAcentral. Lineage: Eukaryota; Viridiplantae; Streptophyta; Magnoliopsida; Rosales; Rosaceae.